CAGGCCUAAGCACGGGGUGGCCUCCCUGCCUUCCCCAGUCCAUCCUGCACAGGCCGCCAGCUCUGUGGCCACCACUGCUCCUGUUCCAGGAUCUCCAGUGGCUCCAGGUCACCUCCCAAAGACAGUCCCAGCUCCUUAGCCAUCGAGGGCCCCACGACCUGGCGCCAACACACUUGCCUGGUCUUACCUGGCAUGUUCUUCGUCACAGAUUUGGCUUUCUCUAGCUCCCAGUCUCUGCUCACUCGCCCCCAGGGGCCUGCCUGGGAAGGGGGAGGUGGGCUCUGCCACAGCUGGAAGACAUGCAACAAGGGACGAGGGACGAUGGUGGCCACCCCAGCUGGUGCUUCUCAAUGCUGUGAGACAGCUCCUGACCUGAGAGGCCGGGGCUGUGGGGUACCUGGGGAGGUCUGAGGAGAGAAGGGCACACCAGCAGUCCAAGAGCAGGCAGCACUGGGUUUGCUGUGGACAGUGUUGGACUGGCCAGGGAAUGGCAUGUGAUUACUGAGCCGUGCACCAUGAACUGGAAGCAAGAGCAGCCCCUGCCGGGUGACUUUCUCCUUCAGAGCACAGAAAGUUCCUGCAAGACCGGGGUGUCCUGAAUUACUGGGCCUCACAAGGUGGGUGAGUGCAUAGGUCACGUGGGUGGGAUGAUACGCUCACCGCCCACAGCGCCAUCCAGCUACUAUGAGUGCACCAGUCUCCUUGCCCGACUUCAGUGGCCAUUCCUCUGGGGGAAAACAGGCCCAAUCCCAAACAGGGACCUGAAGGACCCACGCCCAUCCCUGCCUCCCCUG
This 794-nucleotide long non-coding RNA is filed under the name Homo sapiens (human). Its description in RNAcentral is "non-protein coding lnc-CYGB-5:1". The record is from RNAcentral. Lineage: Eukaryota; Metazoa; Chordata; Mammalia; Primates; Hominidae.